This 232-nucleotide ribosomal RNA is filed under the name uncultured bacterium. RNAcentral describes it as "partial 16S ribosomal RNA". It matches the Rfam family "Bacterial small subunit ribosomal RNA", at positions 118 to 348 of the family's 1533-position model. The record is from RNAcentral.
UGAGGAGUCUGUCCAUCGGCGGGGGAUAGCCGGCCCAACGGCCGGGUAAUACCGCGUACGUCGGCGGGAGCGCAUGCUCCUGCCGGGAAAGCAGCAAUGCACCGAUGGAGGAUCUCGCGGCCUAUCAGCUUGUUGGUGAGGUCACGGCUCACCAAGGCGACGACGGGUAGCCGGCCUGAGAGGGUGACCGGCCACACUGGGACUGAGACACGGCCCAGACUCCGUAGGGAGG